UACAGAGGUCUCAAGCGUUGUUCGGAUUCAUUGGGCGUAAAGGGUGUGUAGGUGGCGCGCUAAGUCGGGUGUGAAAUUUCGGAGCUUAACUCCGAAACUGCAUUCGAUACUGGCGUGCUUGAGGACUGGGAGAGGAGACUGGAAUUCAUGGUGUAGCAGUGAAAUGCGUAGAGAUCAUGAGGAAGACCAGUGGCGAAGGCGGGUCUCUGGACAGUUCCUGACACUGAGACA
RNAcentral lists this ribosomal RNA (231 nucleotides) under uncultured bacterium. RNAcentral's name for it is "partial 16S ribosomal RNA". It matches the Rfam family "Bacterial small subunit ribosomal RNA", at positions 524 to 753 of the family's 1533-position model. The record is from RNAcentral.